Molecule: ribosomal RNA, 301 nt
Filed under: uncultured bacterium
Lineage: Bacteria
Description: partial 16S ribosomal RNA
Rfam family: Bacterial small subunit ribosomal RNA
Source: RNAcentral
CAGUAGCCACGGUAAUACGAAGGGUGCAAGCGUUACUCGGAAUUACUGGGCGUAAAGCGUGCGUAGGUGGUGGUUUAAGUCCGUUGUGAAAGCCCUGGGCUCAACCUGGGAAUUGCAGUGGAUACUGGAUCACUAGAGUGUGGUAGAGGAUAGUGGAAUUUCCGGUGUAGCAGUGAAAUGCGUAGAGAUCGGAAGGAACAUCUGUGGCGAAGGCGACUAUCUGGGCCAACACUGACACUGAGGCACGAAAGCGUGGGGAGCAAACAGGAUUAGAUACCCGGGUAGUCCCUGUCUCUUAUAA